GGAGGAGUGCAGGAGUGGUUGAACUGGCACGCCUGGAAAGUGUGUAUAGGUGAAAGCCUAUCAAGGGUUCGAAUCCCUUCUCCUCCGCUA
This 90-nucleotide transfer RNA is filed under the name Chitinophaga barathri. Its description in RNAcentral is "tRNA-Ser". It matches the Rfam family "tRNA". From Rfam's summary of the family: Transfer RNA (tRNA) molecules are approximately 80 nucleotides in length. Their secondary structure includes four short double-helical elements and three loops (D, anti-codon, and T loops). Lineage: Bacteria; Pseudomonadati; Bacteroidota; Chitinophagia; Chitinophagales; Chitinophagaceae. The record is from RNAcentral.